AUGAAGAAUAUGAUCUCGGUGUCGGCUCCUGGAGUAUUAAACCUGAUAUUUUGGGUCUUUUUGGUAACACGACAUCUGCACCAUCUUCAAGCACUUCCUUGUGCUUACUUGAUAGAACUUCGACAUCUGAGUGGUCUGAAUCAGAGAAAAUUUCUUUGGAAGGAAUCUCAGCAUAGUUGAUUGAAGGUGAUGUUUUGGUUGAGGACGAUUUGAAUUUAACAGCUUUCUGCUGAUGUGACUUUUGGGCUCUAGGGUUCCUGAACUCGGUAGUCUUUCUGAAAAACAUCUGUAUCACAUGCGUCUGCAUCUGACACAUCUGAAUCAGGAGGAACCUCUUGCGAAUGAACACGGGCAAAAAAAAUAGUCUUAGUGUUUUUAGCCAAUAUAUCUCCAGUUAGUUGUAGACCUGGUUCCAGAUUAAUAUGUACCAAAUCCCCAUCUUCUUCUAAAAAAAUGUCUAUAUUUCCAUCAUUUUUGAUAUGGUUUUUGAAUAUUUUUUUAAUCUUUUCUUUGAUGUCCACUUCAGUAGACUUUUUCAAGAAAAAUGCCGUGUCGCAAAUUCUUUUUUGCUUUCGAUAGUCGCCCAAUAAUUUUCCAGUGGGCACUUUGAGACAAUGUGGCUCAACAAAAAUGACUUUACGUGUAAAAUUGGGGUACUGUUCUUUCGCAGUGAGACUUUUUCUUUUCAAGCAGAACGCUUGUGACGGAGUUGCAUUGCUUCCUGAUGCUGCUGCCGCCUUAAAAAAUGACAGUGAAGAAACGUUUUUGUUCCAUGUUGUGAGAGAUGUUUGGGUUGCUUUUAUUUAAUAUGAUAAAUUUUAUAGAAAUUUAAGAUGAAUUGAGUUGAUUUGCAACCUAAACAACUUUCACCUUCUUACCUAAUUUAUUCUAGAUAAGGAAAUCAAGGAAAUGUAAAUGAAGAGUCGGACUAAGUACGUUUGAAGUCUUUCGGCUAUGUAUAUUGAGGAAAUAACAGAAUUUAGUAUUACAGGCAUUACAAGAUAAUUUUAGUUACAGUUACAGAGUUUACAGAUGAAUUGGUUACGGAGAUUUUGGAAUGGAAAUUGAAAUGGAAAAAUGGUAGAGGAAAUAUGAAGGAAAGAAUCAAGGAUUUUUAGGAUGAUGAGAUGAAUUACCUUAGCGCCCCAUAUAACGAUUGAUGUUGAAGUUUUGCAUGUAACGUAUGCGGUCGAAUUUGCGUGUAACGUACGCGGUCGAAUGUAACUUACGUGUUACCACCGAUUUAACACUUAACGCGUGUAAAACGAAGUGAGUGUAAAGUACUCGGACUGGUUGUGUUCUGCGUAACACCGUCGAAGGUUUGAGUUGUAAUGAAACUCGUUCGCAGUUACUAAAUUGUAACCGGAGCCUUAACGAGACUCAAUCGAAGUCACUAAAUUGUGACAUAGUGCUUGAGGGCACAAACCUGAGCUGCGGAGCAGGGAUACUUUAAGUAAGACGGAUAAAUUGAGAAUGAGUAUAGAAUGCGUCGGGAGCUGGUCAAGACAUCUCGGGCGCUUGACGGCGCAGGACAUAAAUUCGACAAAGCAUGGGGAAUCUUGGUGACUAUGUGGCGCCUGUAAUAUUGAUUCCGAUAUGACUCACCAACGAAAAGUUGAGGCUAAGAAUCGCAUAGCAACAAGAUUAUUGGCCUCACACCUCCGGGGCCAAAGAAAAAGUAUGAAGUACUUUUCAAAAAUUAAAGGUGAGGGUGAAAUUUUGAAGAACUUGAACUUUUUGAUUUGGAAUUUUUUACCUUUAAUUUAACAGAAGAUGGACAAAAGACAAACGAGGAAAGACGAAGAUGUUUUUUAGAUUGAACUUUUUGGAGAAGAUUUUGACAGACAAGAAAAAAGCUUAGCUUGGAAUUUUUUAUACUAAAGAUUUGGUUUCCCUGGAGACGAAGGGGGACCC
Molecule: long non-coding RNA, 1914 nt
Filed under: Bemisia tabaci
Lineage: Eukaryota; Metazoa; Arthropoda; Insecta; Hemiptera; Aleyrodidae
Description: lncRNA ENSSSA1NGG007741
Source: RNAcentral